AUGAAGGAUUUAGGAGUGGCUGAUGUCAUUUUGAACAUCAAGUUGUUGAGAGAUGAUGAUGGUGGGAUUAUAUUGCUUCAAUCUCACUAUGUGGAAAAGAUCUUGAGCCGCUUUGGCUAUAGUGACUGCAAGCCCUCUCCAACACCAUAUGAUGCGAGUGUGUUACUUCGAAAGAAUCGAAGAAUUGCUAGAGAUCAAUUGAAAUAUUCUCAGAUUAGUCGCACGCUUAUGUACUUAGCCAGUGCUACAAGACCUGACAUCUCUUUUGCUGUUAGCAAACUGAGUCGGUUUGUCUCAAAACCAGGAGAUGUGCAUUGGAAAGCUCUAGAGAGAGUUUUGCGUUAUUUGAAAGGCACUACGAAUUAUGGAAUUCACUACACUAGGCACCCAAAGGUGCUUGAAGGGUAUAGUGACUCAAACUGGAUCUCAGAUGCUGAUGAGAUAAAGGCCACUGUGAUCACGAAAGUGAGAAGCUCAAAGGAUAACAUGAAGUCAUCAAGACACGUUCAGAGAAGGUUAAAGUCUAUCAGGAAAAUGAGAAACUCCGGAGUUAUUGCAUUGGAUUAUAUCCAAACGUCUAAAAAUCUGGCAGAUCCUUUUACUAAGGGUCUAUCACGUAAUGUUGAUGUAUAUCUUAAUGUGUUCUAA
Molecule: ribosomal RNA, 648 nt
Filed under: Triticum aestivum (bread wheat)
Lineage: Eukaryota; Viridiplantae; Streptophyta; Magnoliopsida; Poales; Poaceae
Description: partial small subunit ribosomal RNA
Source: RNAcentral